This 624-nucleotide ribosomal RNA is filed under the name uncultured archaeon. RNAcentral describes it as "bacterial SSU rRNA". It matches the Rfam family "Archaeal small subunit ribosomal RNA", at positions 147 to 776 of the family's 1478-position model. The record is from RNAcentral.
UAAUACUCCAUAGUUCGUUAUUACUGGAAUGUUUUUCGAACGAAAGAUCCGUCGCUUCAGGAUGAGUCUGCGGCCGAUUAGGUAGUUGUUGGGGUAAUUGCCCAACAAGCCUGUAAUCGGUACGGGUUGUGGGAGCAAGAGCCCGGAGAUGGAUUCUGAGACACGAAUCCAGGCCCUACGGGGCGCAGCAGGCGCGAAAACUUUACCAUGCGGGCAACCGUGAUAAGGAAACCCCGAGUGCCAGCACAGGCUGGCUGUCCGCCAGUUUAAACAACUGGCGAAGAAAGGGCCGGGCAAGACCGGUGCCAGCCGCCGCGGUAAUACCGGCGGCUCGAGUGGUGGCCGCUAUUACUGGGCUUAAAGGGUCCGUAGCUUGAUAAUAGGGUCCCUUGAGAAAUCCGCCGGCUUAACUGGCGGGCGUUCAGGGGAAACUUGUUUUCUAGGGACCGGGAGAGGUGAGGGGUACUGCCGGGGUAGGAGUGAAAUCCUGUAAUCCCGGUGGGGCCACCUAUGGCGAAGGCAUCUCACCAGAACGGGUCCGACAGUGAGGGACGAAAGCUGGGGGAGCAAACCGGAUUAGAUACCCGGGUAGUCCCAGCUGUAAACUAUGUGCGUUAGGUGUGU